ACAUGCAAGUCGAACGGCAGCGACAGGGGAGCUUGGNUCCCGGGUGGCGAGUGGCGCACGGGUGAGUAAUACAUCGGAACGUGUCCUGUUGUGGGGGGAUAACUGCUCGAAAGGGUGGCUAAUACCGCAUGAGACCUGAGGGUGAAAGCGGGGGAUCGCAAGACCUCGCGCAAUUGGAGCGGCCGAUGCCCGAUUAGGCUGGUUGGUGAGGUAAAGGCUCACCAAGGCGACGAUCGGUAGCUGGGUCUGAGAGGACGACCAGCCACACUGGGACUGAGACACGGCCCAGACUCCUACGGGAGGCAGCAGUGGGGAAUUUUGGACAAUGGGGGCAACCCUGAUCCAGCCAUGCCGCGUGCAGGAUGAAGGCCUUCGGGUUGUAAACUGCUUUUGUCAGGGACGAAAAGGAUCGUGAUAAUGCCAUGGUCUGCUGACGGUACCUGAAGAAUAAGCACCGGCUAACUACGUG
RNAcentral lists this ribosomal RNA (469 nucleotides) under uncultured bacterium. RNAcentral describes it as "bacterial SSU rRNA". It matches the Rfam family "Bacterial small subunit ribosomal RNA", at positions 53 to 507 of the family's 1533-position model. The record is from RNAcentral.